Molecule: ribosomal RNA, 442 nt
Filed under: uncultured bacterium
Lineage: Bacteria
Description: partial 16S ribosomal RNA
Rfam family: Bacterial small subunit ribosomal RNA
Source: RNAcentral
CCUACGGGUGGCAGCAGUCGGGAAUCAUUGGCAAUGGGCGCAAGCCUGACCCAGCAAUGCCGCGUGAAGGAAGAAGGCUUUCGGGUUGGUAACUUCUUGGAAUGGGGAAGAGCAGAAGACGGUACCCUGAAAACAAGCAACGGCUAACUACGUGACUGCAGCCGCGGUCAGAAGUAGAUAGCAAGCGUUGUCUGUAUUUAAUGGGUGUAAAGGGCGUGUAGCUGGGAAGGCAAGUCAGAUGUGAAAUCCGGGGGCUCAACCUGCGAAGUGCAUAUGAAACUGUUUGUCUUGAGUACUGGAGAGGGAAACGGAAUUCCUUGUGUAGCGGUGAAAUGCGUAGAUAUAAGGAGGAACACCAGUGGCGAAGGCGGUUUGCUGGACAGCAACUGACGGUGAGGCGCGAAGGCGAGGGGAGCGAAAAGGAUUAGAUACCCCAGUAGUC